RNAcentral lists this ribosomal RNA (450 nucleotides) under uncultured bacterium. Its description in RNAcentral is "partial 16S ribosomal RNA". It matches the Rfam family "Bacterial small subunit ribosomal RNA", at positions 354 to 796 of the family's 1533-position model. The record is from RNAcentral.
GUGGGGAAUAUUGGACAAUGGGCGAAAGCCUGAUCCAGCCAUGCCGCGUGUGUGAAGAAGGUCUUCGGAUUGUAAAGCACUUUAAGUUGGGAGGAAGAGUAGUAACCUAAUACGUUGCUACUUUGACGUUACCGACAGAAUAAGCACCGGCUAACUUCGUGCCAGCAGCCGCGGUAAUACGAAGGGUGCAAGCGUUAAUCGGAAUUACUGGGCGUAAAGCGCGCGUAGGUGGUUCAGUAAGUUGGAAGUGAAAUCCCCGGGCUCAACCUGGGAACUGCUUUCAAAACUGCUGAGCUAGAGUACGGUAGAGGGUGGUGGAAUUUCCUGUGUAGCGGUGAAAUGCGUAGAUAUAGGAAGGAACACCAGUGGCGAAGGCGACCACCUGGACUGAUACUGACACUGAGGUGCGAAAGCGUGGGGAGCAAACAGGAUUAGAAACCCGUGUAGUCC